AUACCCUCAAACAUAGCCUGCACAAAGAAAACAUAGCAUCAUUACAAAAUGUAAUCAGAAAGCAGAGAAACUAAACAAUCACAUGGCUACAAUGUACAAUCUGAAGCAUAAAUUUAAAAGCCAGUUACACAACUACAAAGGCAAAGUUUCAGAUCCACAUUAAAAAAAAGACAAGCCAAGCACACAAGUUUUUGCCACUGCAGGUUCUGAGAAAGCAGCCUUCACUAGAUGUUGCAGAGGCUAUUUCCGUGUUUCAAACACACGAUGAAACAUUUUACAAGAAACCUUACUAUUGCACCAACCAUCAGCAAAUACAAAGAUGUUGAAUCAAAAAUAGGAUCGAAGUACGGAUAAGAAGAUAGUAGCAGUGUUUUCAGCCAACUGGUAGCAAACUGGCAAUACCAAAAAUAAUCACAUGCUCACACCACAAUGAAUUUUACAGUGAAAGACUAUCAAAGAUGCUCUAAACUGAUUUACUCAAAGUACAGUAUUCCAACUUCAAAUGAAUGAUGAAACAGCCACAUAAAUACAGCAAUGGAGAGCCGUAAAAAACAUGGAGAACUCCCUGUUUAAAACCAAAAAAUGUCUAAUUCUAACGUCUAGGAUUUGACUACAUGAAUAAGGUUAGCAGACAUAUUAUUUGUAAUAAUCUCCACAUUAGUGUGCGUGUGUGUGUGUACAAUUUAUUGUGAGUCUGUUGAAUUGGUUAAAAAAACAUGGUAGAAUCCAAUAAAAGCGUCACCAUGUUGGGUAUAAGCAGAAAUUAAGAAGACAAACACAUAAAUAAGGUUUCUGUUCUUCACAAUACUAUCAAACUAAAUAAACAAACAAUGGAGUGAUGGAAAAUCAUACGGUUGGUUAAUAGUUAGUGCCAUCCCAGAGUAAAUGAUAUAGACAGCUUCAAAUGCUUGUGAUAGAAAUUAAUUCACGUAGAGACAUCAAGCAGUUCAUCUUCAAGCCAUAAAAAAUCAUGAAACCACGAUAUUAUGUGAGAAAGAUAUAAAAUAUUGAAGUACGGAGAAUUCAAAACCUUUGCAAGAAGAGUUCCAAGAA
This 1053-nucleotide unclassified non-coding RNA is filed under the name Hevea brasiliensis (rubber tree). The record is from RNAcentral. Lineage: Eukaryota; Viridiplantae; Streptophyta; Magnoliopsida; Malpighiales; Euphorbiaceae.